Molecule: long non-coding RNA, 440 nt
Filed under: Cyanistes caeruleus (blue tit)
Lineage: Eukaryota; Metazoa; Chordata; Aves; Passeriformes; Paridae
Description: lncRNA (ENSCCEG00000008939.1)
Source: RNAcentral
AACAAUCUGUAUUUGUUAGUCUAGCCCAGCAGUGACAGGGAAAUGUCCAUCAUGAGUAGAAAAGUUCCAGAUAUGUUUCAUUUGAUGAAUCCAUAGUUAUUGCCCACUUGUUUCACCCUGCUGUGCUUCAAAAUGAGAGUCACUGAAAUUAUGUAACAAAACAGCUUAAUCAGAAUUUUAAAGAAAAAAAGUGGAAUAGUUUAAAGCUUGUAAAGUAUACGAGGCUGGGUUCCUGGGAGCAGGCACCAUCUCUUAACCUAUUUUAGAAGAGCUUGCUUUGAUGUUCCUCUCUAUGCUGUAUUGCGUGAAAUUUAAGUGAAACACUACCAUUACUUUACAAAAGAAGAAACUAAUACAUCAUAUCUGAAGAUAAAGAAAGCUGGCAUUAACAGAGUAAUUAUGAACAGGUAUGUUAGACAAAAUUAUUGACUUGUUUAUGG